Molecule: long non-coding RNA, 504 nt
Filed under: Sorghum bicolor (sorghum)
Lineage: Eukaryota; Viridiplantae; Streptophyta; Magnoliopsida; Poales; Poaceae
Description: long non-coding RNA (SBIC_LNC014055)
Source: RNAcentral
CCCCAGCAUGGCACUAGAGUGUACUAUGGUAUUUAUACGCACACAGAUAAUCCGCAAGCGCACGGAUACCGUUGAAGCUUUUACCCGGUUAAAGGUUUUAUCGUAUCCACAGGGAAACGGGAGAACUGAUCUACGCUCUAACUUAACCAAGAUAAGUAAAUAGGUGUGAAUAGGAAAGAUGGUAGAAUCAAAUAAGAACAAUAUUAAAGGUAAGAUAAAAGUAAGUGAUAAUAUGGGGAUAGAGAGUAGAGCAAUUCUAGUAUAUGGGCGAUGGUAGCAGAAUAGAGAGGAUAACUAUGGUUUCUCUACUUCAAAGGGGUAUGUCUAUGUCUGGGACGAACCACGUGAUAAGAGUACACCACAAAGGAUGCUUAUCCAUAGGCCGAUAAACCCUACCCGUCCUGCUAACGAGAGGUGGACUACAGGGGACCAACAUAACUGUCACCUACGCGGCCUACCACACGAUCCAGCUAGUCAGGGGAUAUCCACAAGUAAUCUAGGUCU